Molecule: long non-coding RNA, 4878 nt
Filed under: Homo sapiens (human)
Lineage: Eukaryota; Metazoa; Chordata; Mammalia; Primates; Hominidae
Description: HSALNT0220857
Source: RNAcentral
UAAUUUUUGUACUUUUAGUAGAGACAGGGCUUCACUGUGUUGGCCAGGCUGGUCUUGAACUCCUGACCUCAGGUGAUCCACCCGUCUCGGCCUCCCAAAGUGCUGGGAUUACAGGCAUGAGCCACCACGCCCUGCCUAAUUCUCUAUUUGAUCAGCGACCUUUUACAAAUGAGGUUGUCUCUUUUGUCUUAAAUCAGGGAACACAAGGUGACUUUGCAAGAACAAGAAAAACAAUGGGCAGAAUUUGUUCAGUAUUUGACACAUAUUUUCCCACUUAAACCCUUACAAUAGCCCUGUUCCUACUAGUAAAGUUGACUAUAGUAUUCUGGACAUACAGAUAAAUUGCCCAUAAUUGAACACAUCUAGUAAAUGGCAGACUGGUUUUUGAGUCCUUAUUCCUCUACAUUCUGAAGCCUAUGGUUUCUAGACUGGAUGCCCCUGCACGUUGUCCCAGCUGCAAGGGCCUUCCCUGUAGUACCAUGUUAUCUAAUAAAUUUGAUUGUUCUUUGAGUAGUUCAGAGGGAGUGAGCUGUCAACCAGGUGAAGCAAAUCCUAGCAGGCUACCUGUCCAGAGGCCUAGGAUGGCAGAUCCAUAGGAAAUAAAGUCAUUAAAGAAGCUAACAGAUAAUUUGGUAAUUUUAGAAAAUUAGGGUGUUAGUUCAUUGGAUCAGAAUUCCUUAGAAUUUUUAGCCUUAUAUUACCAUGUCCUUGAGGGAUGCACCAUUUCUUGUCAUGGUAUCUGACCCAUUUCUCCUGCAAUCCACCUUCCAAAUGCCUGAAAUGUGGUGAGGAAAUUAAUUUUAUAGUUUGAUGGACAUCACUAGAUUUAUUGAGAGAAGGGGCAGGGCAUGGUGGCUCACACCAUGUAGUCCCAGCACUUUAAGAUGCCGAGGAGAGCAGAUCGCUUGAGGUCAGGAGUUUGACACCAGCCUGGCCAACAUAGUGAAACUCCAUCUUUACUAAAGAUACAAAAAUUAGCUAGGUGUGAUGGCAGGUGCCUUGUAAUCCCAGCUACUUGAGAGGCUGAGGCAUAAGAAUCACUUGAAUCUGGGAGGCAGAGGUUGCAGUGAACUGAGAUUAUGCCAUUGCACUCCAGCCUGGGAGACAGUGAGAUACCAUCUCAAAAAAAAAAAAGAGAAGGAAAACUGUCUCUGUCCAAAUGAAAGGUUAUUGCUUGAGCUUUUGAUGGGCUGUCUCAUAAACUGAUGAAAAUUUAACCAGUGAGUAGAUUUCAUACUCAUUUCCUAACCCUGUUGGCAAAUCCAGGUGGGAAACUAUAUACAUGGUGAGCAUGGAGCCAAGAUGACUUCAUGGCUAAUGUUUAUGCCUGGGGCAGGCAUCUCACCUCAGACAGUAUGAAUUCCAGGCUUAGAGAUGCUGGUCUGGGCAACCUGUCCCUAAACAAUCCCAUUUCUUACUGAUGGCUGCACCAAUGGGGUGGCUUAAGUAUUCAGCCUUAAAAAAGUGUGUUUGCUACAGCAAUGCUACACCAAUGUUACACCAACUUCAAGACAAAGCCCAGGCUCCCCCAUUCCAACCAGAUUGCUUUCCCUAAGUCCCUAUUAUAAAAAUUCUGAAUCCUUCACAUGGUUAUUUAUUCAUCCAAUAUUUAUUGAGUGGCUACUAAGAGCCAGGCGUCAGGGAUACAGCAGUGAAAAGAAAAAAUAGACAAAAACAGCUGUCCUUCUGGAGCUUACAUGAAGUAGGAGAAGAUGGAUUAUAAAUAGGUUAGAUGGGAAGGAGGGGGAAUGCUGAGAAAGGGAAUAAGUGUGGCAAUUUUAUUUUAUUUUGAGAUGGGAGUCUUGCUCUUGUCAUGCAGGCUGGACUGCAAUUGCACCAUCUUGGCUCACUGCAACCUCCGCCUCCCGGGUUCAAGCAAUUCUCCUGCCUAAGCCUCAGCUGGGAUUACAGGCGCCCACCACCAUGCCCGGCUAAUUUUUUUGUAAUUUUAGUAGAGAUGGGGUUUCACCAUGUUGGCCAGGCUGGUCUCAAACUGCUGACCUCAGGUGAUCCGCCCACCUCUGCCUCACAAAGUGCUGGGAUUACAGGCAUGAGCCACUGCACCCAGCCUAAGUGUGGCAAUUUUAAAUAAAAUCGGGAAGGCAUGGUUGAGAAAAUGACAUUUUAGCUAAGAACUGAAGCAAUGAGGGAGCGAGCCCACAUGGCUAUCUGAGGAAGAGCGUUUCAGAUGAAGGAGUGAGCACAAGCAAAAGGCUUGAGAUGAGAUGCUGUGGUCAACACACGGGACGAGGCCAGUGUGGAACCAGGUGAACAAGGAGGAGAGUAGUAGGAAAUGAGGUGACAGACUGAAUGUAUUCUACAGAUGAAGAGACAUUAGAGGGCUUGGAGGGGAAGUUGGUCUUCUCAGAGAAAAAUGUAAGAGGGGCAGCGGUGAAGACAUAGAUAUUGGUGAUUUUGGUACAGAGUAUGUAGGUGAACAUUAACUAGAUGAUACCUGCCCCUCAGGCCUGGCUGGAAUAGCUAAGUCAAAAGGAAAGAGAAAGGAAAGAUAAAGGCUUAUCUGUAGGAAGCACUUAAAGGAUUUCAGGAAACAAUUUGUUUCAGAUAAAAAUAAACAGUAUUUGUUGAGUGGUGCGUUUUAGGGGAUAUUAUUAAUUUUACCUACAAUGCCCUUACUGAGUUGAAGGUGGUGAUUAAAUAUUUGAGAGGAUGAGUUUUUGGGGGUAACUACACAUGGUAAAUUUGAGGUGUUUGACAGAAAUGCUAAUUAAGCAGUUAUUGGAGGUAUUGUAAGAGAUUCAUCUUUAGUUAGAUGGAUUGGAUGAGGUUCUUUAUAAAUGCAAAAAAUCUGACAAUUUUUUCAAUGAGGAUUCAGUAUUUGUUAGGACCUGUUAAGUAUGGAGGAACUGAGUUAACUGACAAUCCAGGCAGAAAGGUUUUAAAUGUUUUCAUUACUUCAUACAUUUAAGAGCUUGAGAUUUUUUCUAUGUAAUUCCUAAGCUUUUAAUUUUAUUUUACAAUUAUUUUUGGCAUGUGUAGUUUCUGACGUCAGCAUCUUGCCCAACUUACCAAGACUGGCUACUAUCUUUCUUGAAUCUUUUUUGCAUCAUAUGAGCUGUCUGUAGCUUCUGACUCAUUGAUGCCAUUGUCCUGUGGCGAAACAUUUGGAUUACGCAUCAAGCACACGGGGAAUGGCACAUUUUCCUCCAUUCUCUUGGCUUUGAAGAAUCUGUCUUCCUUCGUGGAUCAUGAAGUUAGGAGUUCAAGACCAGCCUGACCAACAUGGUGAAACCCCGUCUCUACUAAAAAUAGAAAAAAUUAGCCGGGCGUGGUGGCAGGCACCUGUAAUCCCAGCUACUUGGGAGGCUGAGGCAGGGGAAUUGCUUGAACCCGAGAGGCAGAGGUUGCAGUGAGCCAAGAUUGUGCCACUGCACUCCAGCCUGGGAGACAGAGUGAGACUCCACCUCAAAACAACAACAAAACCUCUAAAUAGGCCAGGCGUGGUGGCUCACGCUUGUAAUCACAGCACUUUAGGCGGCUGAGGCAGGCAGAUCAUGAGGUCAAGAGUUCGAGACCAGCCUGGCCAACAUAGUGAAACCCCGUCUCUACUAAAAAUACAAAAAAAUAGCUGGGCGUGGUGACUGGCACCUGUAAUCCCAGCUACUCGGGAGGCUGGGGCAGGAGAAUCGCUUGAACCCAGGAGGCGGAGGUUGCAGUGAGCCGAGAUCGUGCCACUAUACUCCAGCCUGGGUGAGAGCUAGACUCUGUCUCAAAAACAAAAACAAAACAAAACAAAAACCUCCAAAUUUGGUUUUCACUGUUGACCCUGAGCCAGCCAGAUCGCUGCUAGCUGCUGCCCAUGAUGGUUGAGGGCCACUCAACCUCAAUGCCAGCAUAUCAGGUGGUUUUGUCAGCUUUUCUGAACUUAAAGCCAUCGCCAUGGCAACUCGAGUAAAAAAUAAUUACCUAUAGUGUCUGUAGGCUUGUACCCUUCAGUAUAAGUGUAGAAAAGACUGAAACAAAUCAAGGAUCUAAUGUUUAAAAGGCAGGUUACUAUCCAGAUUCCCAUCUGAAAACUGGUCAGGUCAGUAAUUCUACCUGUGGCUAGGAGGAUUCUUCUGAGUAUUAGGCAAGGGAACAUAUGUCAAACGCUUAGCACAUUGCCCAGCACGUAAAGCGCUUAGCCAGUGUUUGCAGCUGUAUGAUAAUCCCUUCUAAGAAGCACAGUCCCACUCUACAAAUGAGGAAACAACGAGAAGUGACAUUCUAACCCAAAGUCACCAACAUUCACUCCAAUGGAUACUGAGGCUUCUCCUGUGCCACUCUACAACACGUAGUGAUCAAAAAUGAGGUAGACCUCCCCUACACCAACGCAGACACCCAACCUGCUCCCACAGCUGUAGGACUGGGAAUGGCAGAAAACGUAAGAAAUCCAGAGAAGUUCCCCAAAGGACCAGAGACCACAGAACCUUGGUUGCCCCACGGCACUCAGAAGUGUGAGCCAUCUCAUGGGCAUGACCGUAUUGAGCAUAGAGAGUGCUGAAUUUACCAAAAUCUAGACCAUUUGGAUUUUUCUUCACUGAUUUAUAUAAAGGGAUGUGGGAAGCUUUUUUGAAAGAGCAGCAUUUACCUUGAAGGGCUUUCCUAAAAGAGAUGCCUUUAAAAAAGCCAUAGGAUUAGUGGUUAAGUCUCUAACAUGUGAACAGCAUGUGCUGCCCAGCUACUGAGGUGAAGAGUCUAAGCUAGAUUUAUUUCUGAAGAACAAAGACCAAAAGAAUGCCUUUAUAGCUCUAUAUCUAGUCAGUCACCUUGGGCUGAACUACAGAAAGAACUGGACGACUAACACCUAAAACGCUGAAAACAAAGACACAUACACUUCCAGGUGUGGAUUUUUAUUUUCACAAAAAGACAACAAUG